This 233-nucleotide unclassified non-coding RNA is filed under the name Hevea brasiliensis (rubber tree). Lineage: Eukaryota; Viridiplantae; Streptophyta; Magnoliopsida; Malpighiales; Euphorbiaceae. The record is from RNAcentral.
GCCGAAGAUGGAGCCGGUGGAGACGGCGGCGUCGAUGUUGGAGGAGCCGUCGAGCGGGUCGAACACCACGAUGUAGUUGCCCGAGUAGCUCUCCUCCACGGCCACCGGCACGUCCUCCUCCUCCGACGCGAUCACGCCGGUGCGCCCGCUCGAUUUGAGGCAGUUGGAGAACACCUCGUUGGAGACGACGUCGAGUUUUUUCUGGUCCAGGGCGCCGUCAACGUGCAGGGCGA